AAAUUGAAGAGUUUGAUCAUGGCUCAGAUUGAACGCUGGCGGCAGGCCUAACACAUGCAAGUCGAACGGUAACAGAAAGCAGCUUGCUGCUUUGCUGACGAGUGGCGGACGGGUGAGUAAUGUCUGGGAAACUGCCCGAUGGAGGGGGAUAACUACUGGAAACGGUAGCUAAUACCGCAUAACGUCGCAAGACCAAAGAGGGGGACCUUCGGGCCUCUUGCCAUCGGAUGUGCCCAGAUGGGAUUAGCUAGUAGGUGGGGUAACGGCUCACCUAGGCGACGAUCCCUAGCUGGUCUGAGAGGAUGACCAGCCACACUGGAACUGAGACACGGUCCAGACUCCUACGGGAGGCAGCAGUGGGGAAUAUUGCACAAUGGGCGCAAGCCUGAUGCAGCCAUGCCGCGUGUAUGAAGAAGGCCUUCGGGUUGUAAAGUACUUUCAGCGGGGA
RNAcentral lists this ribosomal RNA (448 nucleotides) under Escherichia coli. Its description in RNAcentral is "bacterial SSU rRNA". It matches the Rfam family "Bacterial small subunit ribosomal RNA", at positions 1 to 445 of the family's 1533-position model. The record is from RNAcentral. Lineage: Bacteria; Pseudomonadati; Pseudomonadota; Gammaproteobacteria; Enterobacterales; Enterobacteriaceae.